RNAcentral lists this RNase P RNA (387 nucleotides) under Staphylococcus simulans. Its description in RNAcentral is "Bacterial RNase P class B". It matches the Rfam family "Bacterial RNase P class B". From Rfam's summary of the family: Ribonuclease P (RNase P) is a ubiquitous endoribonuclease, found in archaea, bacteria and eukarya as well as chloroplasts and mitochondria. Its best characterised activity is the generation of mature 5'-ends of tRNAs by cleaving the 5'-leader elements of precursor-tRNAs. The record is from RNAcentral. Lineage: Bacteria; Bacillati; Bacillota; Bacilli; Caryophanales; Staphylococcaceae.
GAUAUUUCGGGUAAUCGCUAUAGCAAUAUAGAGGAAAGUCCAUGCUCACACAAUCUGAGAUGAUUGUAGUGUUCGUGCUUGAUGAAACAAUAAGUCAAGGCUAAUAGACGGCAGUGAAAUAAUCUAAGUCUUUUGGAUAUGAUUAAAGUAGCUUGAAAGUGCCACAGUGACGGAGCCUUUACAGAAAUGUAAAGGGUGGAACGCGGUAAACCCCUCGAGUGAGCAAUCCAAAUUUGGUAGGAGCACUUAUUUAGCGGAAUUCAACGUAUAAAUGAGGGAAUAAGUGUGCGUAAAUACUUAUUCCAGACAGAUGGUUACCACCGGCGUACGAGUGACUACUAGUGCACGUUAUCAGUACUAAGGUACAGAACAUGGCUUAUAGAAAUA